Molecule: ribosomal RNA, 528 nt
Filed under: Alternaria alternata
Lineage: Eukaryota; Fungi; Ascomycota; Dothideomycetes; Pleosporales; Pleosporaceae
Description: eukaryotic LSU rRNA
Rfam family: 5.8S ribosomal RNA (bases 195-348)
Source: RNAcentral
UCCGUAGGUAACCUGCGGAGGGAUCAUUACACAAAUAUGAAGGCGGGCUGGAACCUCUCGGGGUUACAGCCUUGCUGAAUUAUUCACCCUUGUCUUUUGCGUACUUCUUGUUUCCUUGGUGGGUUCGCCCACCACUAGGACAAACAUAAACCUUUUGUAAUUGCAAUCAGCGUCAGUAACAAAUUAAUAAUUACAACUUUCAACAACGGAUCUCUUGGUUCUGGCAUCGAUGAAGAACGCAGCGAAAUGCGAUAAGUAGUGUGAAUUGCAGAAUUCAGUGAAUCAUCGAAUCUUUGAACGCACAUUGCGCCCUUUGGUAUUCCAAAGGGCAUGCCUGUUCGAGCGUCAUUUGUACCCUCAAGCUUUGCUUGGUGUUGGGCGUCUUGUCUCUAGCUUUGCUGGAGACUCGCCUUAAAGUAAUUGGCAGCCGGCCUACUGGUUUCGGAGCGCAGCACAAGUCGCACUCUCUAUCAGCAAAGGUCUAGCAUCCAUUAAGCCUUUUUUCAACUUUGACCUCGAUCAGGUAGG